UCAGGUAUUUUAUGAUCCCUUAUAAUGAUUGCUUAUGUUAUAUUUGCUUCAUUAACUCAAAACAUGGUUUUAGUAUGACACUGCCUUCAAGUGAAUAUGUGAAAUCUCAUAGGCAUGGCUAUCAAAUGUUUGAUUAAAUGUCUGUCUGAAACUUGCGAUAAUUAGUUUUUAGGUUGAUUGCAAAUGCAACAAUAAAUCUAGAUGGUGUUUUUUGGAUCUCUUGAGAAGGUUCUUUAAACAAAAGAAUUGCUUGAUUUGUGUUUCUAUUGAUAUCUAAAACUAAUAAAUUAGCUUUAUUUUGAAUCAAACGUUGGCUAUUUGAUGGAUUUUAGAGUAUUCUAAGCGGUUCAACAUUGUCACUCAACUUGCUGUCCAGAUACUUCUUCUUCUCUGCAUUGAAUUCACUGGAGGCAACAAAUUCAAACAAAUCUUGCUACCAUCAAUUGAGUAAUAGGGUUACUUCUUGACAGCAAUCAAUUAAUCUCAAUGGGCAUUGGCUGUGAUCAAUUAACCACUUGUUCUUUUGUGCACCUUAAUGGAUCUCAAUAUGUGAUCUUUUGUAAUUGCAGCCUAUGAUUGCACUUUAUAUUAAGUAUUUAGCAAGUCAUCUCUUGUCUCUGUAAGACUAACUUGCACUUGAAGAUGUUAAGCUAUUUGUCGAACUACUUGCCAAUCUUUUGUCAUCUUCUCUUCUCUUUUGC
Long non-coding RNA from Coffea eugenioides, 701 nucleotides. RefSeq lists it as uncharacterized. The transcript is spliced from 3 exons. The record is from RefSeq and is a predicted model, not a curated record. Lineage: Eukaryota; Viridiplantae; Streptophyta; Magnoliopsida; Gentianales; Rubiaceae.